GGUACCGGGCAGAUGUCAUACACUAUACCUCCUCAUCAAAGUUAGCAGUGUCUUAUGUUUGAAUCCAACAGACGCUUUCCGGUUUUU
Molecule: ribosomal RNA, 87 nt
Filed under: Eimeria sp.
Lineage: Eukaryota; Apicomplexa; Conoidasida; Eucoccidiorida; Eimeriidae
Description: large subunit ribosomal RNA
Source: RNAcentral